This 72-nucleotide transfer RNA is filed under the name Microcaldota archaeon. Its description in RNAcentral is "tRNA-Ala". It matches the Rfam family "tRNA". From Rfam's summary of the family: Transfer RNA (tRNA) molecules are approximately 80 nucleotides in length. Their secondary structure includes four short double-helical elements and three loops (D, anti-codon, and T loops). Further hydrogen bonds mediate the characteristic L-shaped molecular structure. tRNAs have two regions of fundamental functional importance: the anti-codon, which is responsible for specific mRNA codon recognition, and the 3' end, to which the tRNAs corresponding amino acid is attached (by aminoacyl-tRNA synthetases). tRNAs cope with the degeneracy of the genetic code in two manners: having more than one tRNA (with a specific anti-codon) for a particular amino acid; and 'wobble' base-pairing, i.e. permitting non-standard base-pairing at the 3rd anti-codon position. Lineage: Archaea; Nanobdellati; Microcaldota. The record is from RNAcentral.
GGGCUCUUAGAUCAGCGGUAGAUCGCUCGCUUCGCAUGCGAGAGGCCAGGGGUUCAAAUCCCCUAGAGUCCA